Molecule: ribosomal RNA, 469 nt
Filed under: uncultured bacterium
Lineage: Bacteria
Description: partial 16S ribosomal RNA
Rfam family: Bacterial small subunit ribosomal RNA
Source: RNAcentral
GACGAACGCUGGCGGCGUGCUUAACACAUGCAAGUCGAACGGAAAGGCCCUGCUUGCCGGGUGCUCGAGUGGCGAACGGGUGAGUAACACGUGGGUGAUCUGCCCCUUACUUUGGGAUAAGCCUGGGAAACUGGGUCUAAUACUGGAUAGGACCAUGCUGUAGGUGGUGUGGUGGAAAGAUUAGUUUCGGUAAGGGAUGAGCUCGCGGCCUAUCAGCUUGUUGGUGGGGUAAUGGCCUACCAAGGCGUCGACGGGUAGCCGGCCUGAGAGGGUGGACGGCCACAUUGGGACUGAGAUACGGCCCAGACUCCUACGGGAGGCUGCAGUGGGGAAUAUUGCACAAUGGGCGCAAGCCUGAUGCAGCGACGCCGCGUGGGGGAUGACGGCCUUCGGGUUGUAAACUCCUUUCAGCCAUGACGAAGCCCUUGUGGUGACGGUAGUGGUAGAAGAAGCACCGGCUAACUACGUG